GACGAACGCUGGCGGCGUGCUUAACACAUGCAAGUCGAACGGUGAAGGGGUCUGCUUUUGUGGGCCCUGGAUGAGUGGCGAACGGGUGAGUAACACGUGAGUAACCUGCCCCCUUCUUCUGGAUAACCGCAUGAAAGUGUGGCUAAUACGGGAUAUUCUGGGUCUGUCGCAUGAUGGGUCUGGGAAAGAUUGCGCCUUUGGGUGUUUUUGGUGGGGGAUGGGCUCGCGGCCUAUCAGCUUGUGGGUGGGGUGAUGGCCUACCAAGGCGGUGACGGGUAGCCGGCCGGAGAGGGGGGGGGGUCACACGGGGACUGAGACACGGCGCAGGCUCCUACGGGAGGCAGCAGUGGGGAAUAUUGCACAAGGGGCGCAAGCCUGAUGGAGCGACGCCGCGUGAGGGAUGGAGGCCUUCGGGUUGUAAGCCUCUUUCGCCAGUGAAGCAGGCCUGCUCCUUGUGGGUGGGUUGACGGUAGCUGGAUAAGAAGCGCCGGCUAACUACGUG
RNAcentral lists this ribosomal RNA (502 nucleotides) under uncultured bacterium. Its description in RNAcentral is "partial 16S ribosomal RNA". It matches the Rfam family "Bacterial small subunit ribosomal RNA", at positions 28 to 507 of the family's 1533-position model. The record is from RNAcentral.